UAAGCAUAUCAAUAAGCGGAGGAAAAGAAACCAACAGGGAUUGCCUCAGUAACUGCGAGUGAAGCGGCAAAAGCUCAAAUUUGAAAUCUGGCGUCUUUGGCGUCCGAAUUGUAAUUUGGAGAGGCAUCUUCGGAGAUGGCACCGUCCUAAGUUCCUUGGAACAGGACGUCACAGAGGGUGAGAAUCCCGUACCAGGAUGGCUGUCCGUCUCCAUGUGAAGAGUCUUCGACGAGUCGAGUUGUUUGGGAAUGCAGCUCAAAAUGGGUGGUAAAUUUCAUCUAAAGCUAAAUAUUGGCGAGAGACCGAUAGCGCACAAGUAGAGUGAUCGAAAGAUGAAAAGCACUUUGAAAAGAGAGUUAAAAAGUACGUGAAAUUGUUGAAAGGGAAGCGCUUGAGACCAGACUCAAUCUUUGGUGAUCAGCUGUGCUUCUGUGCAGUGCACUUGCCAUGGAUUGGGCCAGCAUCGGUUCCGACGGUGGGAUAAAAGGUGGAGGAAUGUAGCUUCCUUCGGGGAGUGUUAUAGCCUCCAUCACAAUGCCAUCAGUUGGGACCGAGGACCGCGCUUCGGCUAGGAUGCUGGCGUAAUGGUCUUAAGCGACCCGUCUUGAAACACGGACCAAGGAGUCUAACAUCUAUGCGAGUGUUCGGGUGGAAAACCCUUGCGCGUAAUGAAAGUGAACGGAGGUGGGAACCCGUAAGGGUGCACCAUCGACCGAUCCUGAUGUCUUCGGAAGGAUUUGAGUAAGAGCAUAGCUGUUGGGACCCGAAAGAUGGUGAACUAUGCCUGAAUAGGGUGAAGCCAGAGGAAACUCUGGUGGAGGCUCGCAGCGGUUCUGACGUGCAAAUCGAUCGUCAAAUUUGGGUAUAGGGGCGAAAGACUAAUCGA
RNAcentral lists this ribosomal RNA (886 nucleotides) under Perilachnea verrucispora. RNAcentral describes it as "Perilachnea sp. NV-2022b partial large subunit ribosomal RNA". It matches the Rfam family "Eukaryotic large subunit ribosomal RNA", at positions 35 to 938 of the family's 3401-position model. The record is from RNAcentral. Lineage: Eukaryota; Fungi; Ascomycota; Pezizomycetes; Pezizales; Pyronemataceae.